AGCAGCCGCGGUAAUUCCAGCUCCAAUAGCGUAUAUUAAAGUUGUUGCAGUUAAAAAGCUCGUAGUUGAAUUUCGGGAUUAGUAAGUUGGUCGUGCCUCCGGUAUGUACUGGCUCUACUGGUUCCUCCUUCUUGAAGAACUGUAAUGUCAUUAAUUUGGUGUUGCAGGGAAACAGGACUGUUACUUUGAAAAAAUUAGAGUGUUUAAAGCAGGCUAACGCUUGAAUACAUUAGCAUGGAAUAAUGAAAUAGGACGUUUGAUCCUAUUUUGUUGGUUUCUAGGAUUGACGUAAUGAUUAAUAGGGAUAGUUGGGGGCAUUAGUAUUCAAUUGUCAGAGGUGAAAUUCUUGGAUUUAUUGAAGACUAACUACUGCGAAAGCAUUUGCCAAGGAUGUUUUCAUUAAUCAAGAACGAAAGUUAGGGGAUCGAAGACGAUCAGAUACCGUCGUAGUCUUAACCAUAAACUAUGCCGACUAGGGAUCGGAUGAUGUUAAUUUUUUAAUGACUCAUUCGGCGCCUUA
RNAcentral lists this ribosomal RNA (520 nucleotides) under uncultured Glomeromycotina. RNAcentral's name for it is "SSU rRNA". It matches the Rfam family "Eukaryotic small subunit ribosomal RNA", at positions 569 to 1090 of the family's 1831-position model. The record is from RNAcentral. Lineage: Eukaryota; Fungi; Glomeromycota.